Long non-coding RNA from Esox lucius (northern pike), 1364 nucleotides. NCBI's taxonomy places the organism in Eukaryota, Metazoa, Chordata, Actinopteri, Esociformes, Esocidae. The record is from Ensembl.
AAUGCUUUCAGCACCUUGUUGAAUCAAUGCCAUGUAGAAUUUAGGCAGUUUUGAAGGCGAAAGGGGGUCAAACACAGUAUUAGUAUGGUGUUCCUAAUAAUCCUUUAGGUGAGUGUAGAUUUGUCUGUUGAGGGUUGUGGGUGUAUGUUUAGAGCAGGCUAUAGUCAACAGAGUUUGCUAUAGUCAUUAGAGCGUGCUAUAGUUAACAGAGCAUGCUAUAGUUAACAGAGUGGGCUAUAGUCAUUAGAGCAUGCUAUAGUUAACAGAGCAUGCUAUAGUUAACAGAGCAUGCUAUAGUUAACAGAGUGGGCUAUAGUCAAUAGAGCAUGCUAUAGUUUACAGAGUUGACUAUAGUCAUUAGAGCAUGCUAUAGUUAACAGAGCAUGCUAUAGUUAACAGAGUGGGCUAUAGUCAAUAGAGCAGGCUAUAGUUAACAGAGCAUGCUAUAGUUAACAGAGUGGGCUAUAGUCAAUAGAGCAUGCUAUAGUUAACAGAGCAUGCUAUAGUUAACAGAGUGGGCUAUAGUCAAUAGAGCAGGCUAUAGUUAACAGAGCAUGCUAUAGUUAACAGAGUGGGCUAUAGUCAAUAGAGCAUGCUAUAGUUAACAGAGCAUGCUAUAGUUAACAGAGCAUGCUAUAGUUAACAGAGCAUGCUAUAGUUAACAGAGUGGGCUAUAUUUCAAUGAUGGCCACCCCUCAGAACCACCCCUAUAGUUGAUUACUGUUGCUGUAUGUGGCUCUUCUUCUGUAAGGCCUACUGUCAGAGACAGACAGAUUGAUGGGUUGUCAGACAGACAGAUAAUUUGUCGGACAGACAGACAGAUAAUUUGUCAAACUGACAGACAGACAAACAAAUGGGGUUUUCGGACAAACUGACAGACAGACGAACAAAUGGGGUUUUCGGACAAACUGACAGACAGACGAACAAAUGGGGUUUUCGGACAAACUGACAGAUAGACAAACAGAUGGUUUGUUGGACAGACAUAGAGAUGGUUUGUCAGACAGAGAUAGACAGAUAGGUUGUCGGACAGACAGAUGCGUUGUCAGACAGAGUUUGUCAGACAGAGAUAGACAGUUGGGUUGUCGGACAGACAGACAGAUGGUUUGUCAGACAGACAGAUAGAGAAAUGGGUUGAAAGACAGACAGACAAACAGACAGAUGUGUUAUUAGACAGACAGACAUGCGGUUUGUCAGUCAGACAGACAGACAGAUGUGUUAUUGGACAGACAGAUAGACAGAAAGAUGGUUUGUCAGCCAGACAGACAGGUUGUUGGAGAGGGAGUAUCUCAUUGAACUAUAAAUACUAACUCUGGUUUAAAUUUCAACACGGCAGCUGCAAGUGAUGUUGGAUCUAUAUGUGUUAU